This 301-nucleotide ribosomal RNA is filed under the name uncultured bacterium. RNAcentral describes it as "partial 16S ribosomal RNA". It matches the Rfam family "Bacterial small subunit ribosomal RNA", at positions 509 to 808 of the family's 1533-position model. The record is from RNAcentral.
CAGCCGCCACGGGAAUACCAGCAGCCCAAGUGGUGGUCGCGCUUAUUGGGCCUAAAGCGCUCGUAGCCUGGCCGGUAAGUUCCCCGUGAAAUCGGGUCGCCCAACGAUUCGGCUUGCGGGGAAUACUGUCGGUCUUGGGGCCGGGAGACGCCGAGGGUACUCCGGGGGUAGCGGUGAAAUGCGUAGAGAUGUGGAGGAACACCAGUGGCGAAGGCGACUCUCUGGUCUGUAACUGACGCUGAGGAGCGAAAGCGUGGGGAGCGAACAGGAUUAGAUACCCGCGUAGUCCCUGUCUCUUAUA